GAGCUUUGAACUUUCUUUGUUUUAGAAAAUUGCAUUGAUAUAGUGUUACUCUCUUGUGAUAUUGUGUUGAUAUGACAUUACUCUCUUAGGAGACAGUAAUUUUCUAAAACAAAGUCAUAUUCUCUCAAGUUUUCCUCCCCUAACUUGGACAAUCCCUACCUAAUCUCCAGGGAUAGACUCCUAUCAUAUUUCCAAACUAUUAAUUAUAGCAGAAACUAGAUGUCUUUUGGGAUUAGCCUUUUAAAAAUAGAGCAUUCCAACCCUUACAGGUCAAAAGCCCUGGAUUUCAAGAAUCUGUCUCUGCUAUGAGUCUCAAGAGCCUAUUUUGUAACUCAGAAGCCAAGGACAACAAAUGCUACCAUACUUAUUCUGAGUCUUCCUGGUCAGAAACCAAGAAGAUAGUCAUUGCAACAAAAAUACACAGCUUUCAGACAUUCUCUUCCUGCUACUCAGAUUGUCACGGGAUACUUGGGGUGUUGCUUCACCAGCUGGAAACCUCUGUGGCUGGUGGUACCUUCUGCCUGAGUAUUGCUCAUGCCUGGUGGGCUCGCUUUGCCCACUCAUCCUGGAAGGCUGCACUCGGCUCAUGCUAUCAGCCUGGAUUCCAUACCUGCCAAGGGCAAGCCAGGCUCGGAUCAGUGAGGGGUGUGUGGGCAAGUGAGCAUGGGGUUCAGCCACAGCGCACAGGCAGGCACACUGGCUGCUGCGGCAGGGUGGGCAGCUUCAGGCACUGCAGCUGAACCAGAUGUACUACAUGCAGCUUCUGUUGUGGGCACCCAUGCCUGGACAAGGGGAAUGCAGUGGUGCCUGGAAACUUGGAGAUGCCAGGAACCACAGAGCCUCAAAGACAGUAUCAUCAUAGCCCUAACUUGGGGAGCCCCUAGGUCUGGGCUUCCCUAAGGGCGGCAACUCUUUUCUCCUUCCCGUCGCUCACAACAUGGUGAGUGGCAGGUCAUGUUUCAGCCCUGUUUGUGUUAUAGCCCUUUCAGUCCUGCCAUUCAGCAGGUCCUGAGUUCUUGUCCCACAUCCAGGAAGAAUGAGGUACAUGGACAACUGGAGGGUAAACAAGGUGGAGAGAAGCUUCAUUGAGUGACAGGACAGCUUUCAAUAGACCCAAAGUGGGUAGCUCCUUUCCGCAGGCAGGUUGCAGCCCUCAGCGGAGAGACCAAGCAUGGGUAGCUGCCAUCUGCAGGCAAGUUGUCCCAACAUCUCUGUGAGUAUGGCUGAGUGGUGGAUGGGGCGGAAUGGAGAGAGAGUCCUUUAUGGGCUUCAGAAGGAAGGAAGUGCAUUGUGCAUGCUGAUUAGUCCAUGGGCAGCCAUAGGCAGGCCUGGAAAAAGCACCAUAAGUUCUUACUCCAAGCCAUGGACUCCAGCCAGAACUGACAGCCCAGACCCCAUACUUUAGGUCAUCUCUGGCUUGAAGGUGGGGCUUCACUGUGCACCCACCCUUUUCUAUGCAGAAGUCUGUCUUCCUCCUGCUGCUAUCAUAUUGUCCAUAGUGCCCACGCUGCUCAUGCUGAGGAGUGCCUGCAGGCCCGACAAGCUGCCGUCAACCCUGCCUCAGCCUCCCUCCCAUGCUGAUCAGUGCAUAAAGUCCAAGGGGGCCAAGGGCCAGGGUUUGGCAUGUCAGCGUCACCCCAAACAUGCGCACCCACAGGCAGGUCAGAAGAGCACCCGGGCUUGCCCUCAACUUUGCUCUGAAAUCAGAGUGGGCACCAGGCACAGGGAGAAGCCAGGCAGUGGGAGUAGGCACUUCUGAGCCCGCGAGGCUGAGGGGGCUCAGAGGUCCCCAGGAGCACAGGGUGCCCACGUCCGCAGCUGUGGCUGGGUAGCUGCAGCAGUGCCUCGGAGGGCAGGGCUCCCACCCUGCCAAUUCAGAAGGGGGCAGGGCUCCCCCUGUUCCCAGCCCUAGCUGCACCUCCCCAACUUCAGCCCAUGUCUUCACAGCAGCCACUCCCAACGGGCUGCCACUGCCAACAAGAUGACCUAUUUUGCCAAUAUUCAUCAACUAGAACAUAUUUCACACCACAGUGUUGAUAAAGGAAUAUGCCAAUAAGAUGGAUGCUUUCAUUUAUGAUGAAAAUAAUUAUUACAGAGAAGAGUCUGUAUAAUGGCAGCUAUAACAACUGGAUCUACUUGACAAGGUGGAUGUAACAUUUCAAACUAUUGAAAAGGAUGCUUUGAAUUAAUAUAAAAUAAAGAAUGGGGCUGGAAAUAACCCAUCUACCAUUUUACUGAAUGAAAAAAUCAUUACUAUUCUGUAUAUACUGUGAAGCUAGUAAAUUGAGACAUAAAAUAUUUUUUGUGAAUUAAAAAAUAAGUCAAAUC
Long non-coding RNA from Homo sapiens (human), 2328 nucleotides. Lineage: Eukaryota; Metazoa; Chordata; Mammalia; Primates; Hominidae. The record is from Ensembl.